This 506-nucleotide ribosomal RNA is filed under the name uncultured bacterium. RNAcentral describes it as "partial 16S ribosomal RNA". It matches the Rfam family "Bacterial small subunit ribosomal RNA", at positions 30 to 523 of the family's 1533-position model. The record is from RNAcentral.
AUUGAACGCUGGCGGCAGGCCUAACACAUGCAAGUCGAACGGUAACAGGAAGCAGCUUGCUGCUUCGCUGACGAGUGGCGGACGGGUGAGUAAUGUCUGGGAAACUGCCUGAUGGAGGGGGAUAACUACUGGAAACGGUAGCUAACACCGCAUAACGUCGCAAGACCAAAGAGGGGGACCUUCGGGCCUCUUGCCAUCAGAUGUGCCCAGAUGGGAUUAGCUAGUAGGUGGGGUAAUGGCUCACCUAGGCGACGAUCCCUAGCUGGUCUGAGAGGAUGACCAGCCACACUGGAACUGAGACACGGUCCAGACUCCUACGGGAGGCAGCAGUGGGGAAUAUUGCACAAUGGGCGCAAGCCUGAUGCAGCCAUGCCGCGUGUGUGAAGAAGGCCUUCGGGUUGUAAAGCACUUUCAGCGAGGAGGAAGGCGGUGAGGUUAAUAACCUCAUCGAUUGACGUUACUCGCAGAAGAAGCACCGGCUAACUCCGUGCCAGCAGCCGCCGUAA